Gorilla gorilla gorilla (western lowland gorilla) is the source of this 388-nucleotide long non-coding RNA. RefSeq lists it as uncharacterized. The transcript is spliced from 3 exons. Lineage: Eukaryota; Metazoa; Chordata; Mammalia; Primates; Hominidae. The record is from RefSeq and is a predicted model, not a curated record.
GAUCUCACAGCAGAAUUGGAAGCUGUAUCUUUACAAUGUGUCUAUUUGGCUGAAAACAAUCAAGUUACUCAACAGGAGUUAUCUAUGAAAAAAGUACAACAGGAAUGUGAAAAACUUGAGGAAAAUAAAAAGAUGUUGGAAGAAGGCAUGACACACAUGGAAAAAUAUGGUAGAACUUGGUAAAGUACAAGAAUAUAAAUUGGAGCUAGAAGAAAAAGCAAUGCCAGCAAUAGAAAAAAAAUAGAAGAAAUCCAUUAACAGAUGGAGUUGGACUGUGUAGAACAAAUAAUUAGAGAAACAAAGAAAAGCUAGAGUACAAUGGUAUGAUCUCAGUUCACCGCAACCUCCUCCUCCCAGGUUCAAAUGAUUCUCCUGCCUAAGCCCUCCG